CUUUCUUUGCUGGCGACCGGCGCACGGGUGAGUAGCACGUAUCCAACCUGCCCUUUACUCGGGGAUAGCCUUUCGAAAGAAAGAUUAAUACCCGAUAGUAUAAUGAUUCCGCAUGGUUUCAUUAUUAAAGGAUCCGGUAAAGGAUGGGGAUGCGUUCCAUUAGGUUGUUGGUGAGGUAACGGCUCACCAAGCCUUCGAUGGAUAGGGGUUCUGAGAGGAAGGUCCCCCACAUUGGAACUGAGACACGGUCCAA
RNAcentral lists this ribosomal RNA (253 nucleotides) under uncultured bacterium. Its description in RNAcentral is "partial 16S ribosomal RNA". It matches the Rfam family "Bacterial small subunit ribosomal RNA", at positions 79 to 334 of the family's 1533-position model. The record is from RNAcentral.